RNAcentral lists this unclassified non-coding RNA (1602 nucleotides) under Melitaea cinxia (Glanville fritillary). Its description in RNAcentral is "misc RNA ENSMCXG00005001678.1". The record is from RNAcentral. Lineage: Eukaryota; Metazoa; Arthropoda; Insecta; Lepidoptera; Nymphalidae.
ACUGUCAUAAAAUAAGAGUUACGACGACAUAUUUUGUACAAAAAAUUGUUGUAUUUUUGCAACGUGGUCGUGACGUGGACAAUAGAAUUAUAUGUCAUGACGUGGCAGUGGUUAUAGAGCGUAGUAGGGACCAGUCAAGGAGUGCAAACCCCCCGGAAACCGAGACAAAGUCCGCCCCGGCAAGUCGCGUAGACCCGUAGAUCGCGCAUUGGGGGCGGUAAAUCGUUCCAGCACCGGGAGGCCGCAAACCUGAACGAUCCACGAAAGGCAGCAGUUCUGUGCGCCGGCGUCUCGAAAACACUAGUACAAGCACGCCUGGGGUACCCUCCAUGCACCUUAGUCCACGCCAAUUUGCCAAAUAGAUAUUGCGGUGUGCCAGUGCUCAAACCAGUUACGAGGAGCUUGGAUUUCUUGGGGUUCAGGACAAGACAGUUUGUUUUGCACCACCUUGAGAUUGUCUUUAGGUCGAAAUUUACCUUAUCAAUAGCAGAGUCAUAAUCAACUGGCAAAAACGAAUAGCACAGCUGCAGGUCGUCAGCAUAGAGAUGGUAUUUGCAAAAGGUGAUGCAUUCUACUAUGUCGGCACUGUACAACGCAUAGAGGAUCGGCCCCAGUAUAGAGCCCUGAGGGACCCCACGACCUACAGACUGAACUCCCGACCGAUACCGUGACCCAUCAGCUCUAACCAAUUCUACAUACUGCUGCCUGUUCUGCAGAUAACUGUGAAACCAUCUUACAGCGUGGAGAUCAAUACCAUAGUAUGUUAGCUUAGCCAGCAGCAGCGCAGUGUUUAUUGAGUCGAAUGCACGUGAAAAAUCAAGCAAUAUGAGAAAGCUGACCAUCCCCUGAUCCUGGGCGGUAAGCAAAUUAUCGACAAUGUCCGACAAGGCAGUUGCCGUGCUGUGUCCCUUACGAAAACCGGAUUGUAACGAUGGAAGUAGACUAUUGCUCUCAAUAUAGUUGGUUAAUUGGUCACAGACAAUACGCUCUAAUACUUUUGACAAGCAAGGUACUAGACUGAUGGGCCGCAAAUCCUGCACAGAAGUAGGGUCAUUAACUUUCGGUAUGGGUUUGACCAUAGCAGUUUUCCAACCACUUGGGAAUUCUCCUUCUGUUAUUGAGCGAUUAACGAUCGCAACUAUGGUGCGCAAUGUUUGUGGCAGUGUCAGCUGGAGCAUGUCUAAUGAUAUACCAUCAUGACCCUGAGCAUUGGAAUUGAUCCUCAUGAUAGCCUUCAGAACCACCUCCUCACUUACCGGACUAAGAGAGAAAGUGGAUGAGGAGUGACGAUGAUGCACAAAAUAAGUAAGAUCAGAAAAGUUAGUUUGAUUAUCACCUGGUACUGUGAGAAAAUGGUUAUUGAUUGCAUCAGGAUCAGCAAGGUGUGAAGGUCGAACAGUUGUCGCUAAACACCCGUGACAAGUCAUCUUCCGAGCGAAACUGAUAAACGGGGCCUCCAUCCAUCCGACGUGCGAAGAUACGCCCUCGCUUCGUCCAGCAGUAGCGCCACUUGAGCCGGCCGCACUCCUCGCGCACUCUGUGAAAGAGCACGCGGUUGCGGCGCGUCAGGCGCUCGUUGACGAAGACGCGCGCGCCCCCGUC